ACGCUCGACACCUACGGGAGGCGGCAGUGGGGAAUAUUGGGCAAUGGGCGCAAGCCUGACCCAGCAACGCCGCGUGAAGGAAGAAGGCUUUCGGGUUGUAAACUUCUUUUAUUAAGGACGAAGCAAUGACGGUACUUAAUGAAUAAGCUCCGGCUAACUACGCGCCAGCAGCCGCGGUAAUCUGAGCGGGCUGGCAAGGC
This 200-nucleotide ribosomal RNA is filed under the name uncultured bacterium. RNAcentral's name for it is "partial 16S ribosomal RNA". It matches the Rfam family "Bacterial small subunit ribosomal RNA", at positions 328 to 539 of the family's 1533-position model. The record is from RNAcentral.